ACCUGAGUGGCUCAGUUGGUUAAGUGUCUGACUUCAGCUCAGGUCAUGAUCUCACAGUCUGUGGGUUCAGACCCCACAUCAGGCC
This 85-nucleotide transfer RNA is filed under the name Felis catus (domestic cat). It matches the Rfam family "tRNA". From Rfam's summary of the family: Transfer RNA (tRNA) molecules are approximately 80 nucleotides in length. Their secondary structure includes four short double-helical elements and three loops (D, anti-codon, and T loops). Further hydrogen bonds mediate the characteristic L-shaped molecular structure. tRNAs have two regions of fundamental functional importance: the anti-codon, which is responsible for specific mRNA codon recognition, and the 3' end, to which the tRNAs corresponding amino acid is attached (by aminoacyl-tRNA synthetases). tRNAs cope with the degeneracy of the genetic code in two manners: having more than one tRNA (with a specific anti-codon) for a particular amino acid; and 'wobble' base-pairing, i.e. permitting non-standard base-pairing at the 3rd anti-codon position. The record is from Rfam by way of RNAcentral. RNAcentral also lists the same sequence under 6 other names. Lineage: Eukaryota; Metazoa; Chordata; Mammalia; Carnivora; Felidae.